AAAAAUGACAAUAAAUAAAAAUUAAGGAUUUGUUUGUAAAUAAAAGAGUUCAUCUUAAAAAAAUGAAGAACUGAACAGUAUUUCUUCAAAUUUGAAGAAAUAUUGUUCAAUUCUUCAAAAUUUAAAGAAAUGAAGAAAAAAAUAAAAUACCAAUAAAGUAAAAAAUAAAGCAAAAAGUGAAAAUGAAGCACCAUUGGAAAUGCUCUAAUUGCGAGUAUGCGACGACAACAACAAUUCCGCGUCCGAGUUUCUGCUUAUCUCUUCUUGUUCAUUAAACUACCUUUCACGUGUGGCUUGUAGCGCGUGGAUAAACAGAAUAUUUAGUACUGCACCGGUUUGACUUUUUUGGUUCCGGAUCUUACGGCGGAUCUUGCAAAACCUGUACUGUGUGGCUGUAUAUAAUAAUAUAGCUCCAGAAAGAGAGAAGCUAACGCGAAGUAGGCCAUGUUUCUGCUGUACUUGUGUUAAUGUAGAUUUAAAUCAGAGAUGUUGUCUUUAAAUCUUCAUUAUUAUAGUCUAUAGUCAACUAUAAAAAUGCUGUAAUCGUUUAUCUUAGUACUGAGAGAUUAUACUUGACAAUCUUUAAGAAUUGAUUGCAC
RNAcentral lists this long non-coding RNA (599 nucleotides) under Brassica rapa (field mustard). RNAcentral's name for it is "long non-coding RNA (BRAP_LNC000710)". The record is from RNAcentral. Lineage: Eukaryota; Viridiplantae; Streptophyta; Magnoliopsida; Brassicales; Brassicaceae.